RNAcentral lists this ribosomal RNA (545 nucleotides) under uncultured bacterium. Its description in RNAcentral is "bacterial LSU rRNA". It matches the Rfam family "Bacterial large subunit ribosomal RNA", at positions 1500 to 2035 of the family's 2925-position model. The record is from RNAcentral.
GGUGUGUCAUGUGCCAGCUUUGAGGUUUAUAGGUAAAUCCGUAGACUGAGGUGAGACAUGGCAACGUGCCUUGAGGUAGAAGUGAGUUAACCCUUGUUGCCAAGAAAAAGCUUCUAAACGUUGAUUCUUGAGUGCCUGUACCGCAAACCGACACUGGUAGAUGGGGUAGAAUAUACCAAGGCGAAACGGGAGAACCUUUGUUAAGGAAUUAGGCAAUUUAGCCUCGUAACUUCGGGAUAAGAGGUGCCCUCUGGUGUGAAAUGAAUAAUGAGCACCGGGGGGUCGCAGUGAAAUGGUUCUAGGGACUGGUUACCAAAACCACAGGUCUCUGCAAAAGCCGUAAGGCGAUGUAUAGGGGCUGACACCUGCCCAGUGCCGGAAGGUUAAAGGGAGAGGUUAGACGCAAGUCGAAGCUUUGAACUGAAGCCCCGGUGAACGGCGGCCGUAACUAUAACGGUCCUAAGGUAGCGAAAAUUCCUUGUCGGGUAAGUUCCGACCCGCACGAAAGGUGUAACAACUAGAACAGUGUCUCAACAAAGGACCCG